RNAcentral lists this ribosomal RNA (253 nucleotides) under uncultured bacterium. RNAcentral's name for it is "partial 16S ribosomal RNA". It matches the Rfam family "Bacterial small subunit ribosomal RNA", at positions 524 to 776 of the family's 1533-position model. The record is from RNAcentral.
UACGUAGGGGGCAAGCGUUGUCCGGAUUUAUUGGGCGUAAAGAGCGUGUAGGCGGCUUUACAGGUCCGUUGUGAAAACUCGAGGCUCAACCUCGAGACGCCGGUGGAAACUGCAAAGCUAGAGUCCGGAAGAGGAGAGUGGAAUUCCUGGUGUAGCGGUGAAAUGCGCAGAUAUCAGGAAGAACACCCGUGGCGAAGGCGGCUCUCUGGGACGGUACUGACGCUGAGACGCGAAAGCGUGAGGAGCGAACAGG